AGGACGAACGCUGGCGGCGUGCCUAAUACAUGCAAGUAGAACGCUGAAGAGAGGAGCUUGCUCUUCUUGGAUGAGUUGCGAACGGGUGAGUAACGCGUAGGUAACCUGCCUUGUAGCGGGGGAUAACUAUUGGAAACGAUAGCUAAUACCGCAUAACAAUGGAUGACACAUGUCAUUUAUUUGAAAGGGGCAAUUGUUCCACUACAAGAUGGACCUGCGUUGUAUUAGCUAGUAGGUGAGGUAAUGGCUCACCUAGGCGACGAUACAUAGCCGACCUGAGAGGGUGAUCG
This 290-nucleotide ribosomal RNA is filed under the name uncultured Streptococcus sp. Its description in RNAcentral is "partial 16S ribosomal RNA". It matches the Rfam family "Bacterial small subunit ribosomal RNA", at positions 26 to 306 of the family's 1533-position model. Lineage: Bacteria; Bacillati; Bacillota; Bacilli; Lactobacillales; Streptococcaceae. The record is from RNAcentral.